ACUAGCAGCUAUAUCACCCUGUAACUCACAAGUUGUAACUUACUGAAGCUCAACGGGCGUGAGCCUGGCCAGUACCUGGAUGGGAGACCUCCUGGGAAAGCUAAGGUUGCUGCUGGAA
RNAcentral lists this ribosomal RNA (118 nucleotides) under Lepisosteus oculatus (spotted gar). Lineage: Eukaryota; Metazoa; Chordata; Actinopteri; Semionotiformes; Lepisosteidae. The record is from RNAcentral.